UAAAGGUCAAGGUCUCUUUGCAAACCAGGCCACUCCCCGCUCCCUCUCUGCAGGGCCCUGCGGUCCCCAUCCUACCUCCUCCAGGCUUUCAGCUGGCGGCAUCAGCGCUCUCUGUCUGACCUUCAGCUGACCUUUCUGUAACUGACUUCCCCCGUGGAUGAGAGGGAGCAAAGUUUCAGGUUAAUGUCAAAAGGAUUUUAAUCCUUGCUCCACUCAGAUCCCUCCUGUGCAUGUGCCCUGAGGAGGCAGGAAGGACAGAGAGAGCAUCAGGUAUCAGGGCCUCAGUCCUAACUCACAUCAAGGAGAAGUUAUUAGUCAGCCCUGUGCCCAGGAUUUUUCCUGCCCUCUGCUGAGGCAAAAUCAAAUGAAAAGUAAAACAUGAUGUCACAUUCCUGGUGCCCAGGAGCCCACUGGAAACAAUCGGAGGACAUGAGAAGCUCUUGAUAGCAGUAGUGCCGACUGCCAAGGAUCUUCCCCGGCUCUCUGCUCUCCUCAGCAUCUGAUGAAUAUUCAGACCGUUCGGCGCACAAAACAUCAAGCCAAAAAACUUCUGGAAGUGGACAGUGGUGAUGGUCGCACAACACUGUGGAGGCGUACAUUGGGAAAUGAUCACUAAAAUAAAUCUAAGAUCCAUUCUUGAGUCUCUCCUUUGCUCACCCCACACGACCAGUCUACCAAACUACCAAGUCUUGUCACCUUUACCUCCAGAAGACUUCUGGAAUGCGUCCCCUCCAUCUCCACCACCACGCCCUCGUGCAAGCUACCCGCUUGGAUUACCACCGCGGACAGAAACUCCACCAAGAGCAGGAAGCCGUACUGCAGUGUCCCCAGCACCCAGAAUGGUGCCUGGCACAUAGGAGGCACACAACAAGUGUGACUGAGUGAAGGAGUGAAGAAUUAAAGUGAAUUUCCCGGAUAUCAGGAAUAUCACUUAUAGUGGGUUGAAUGGUGGUGCCCAAAAACAUAUGCCUUUGGACCUGAAUCUGUGAAUGGGACCUUAUUUGGCAAAACAGUCUUUGAAGAUAUAAUUAAGUUAAGGAUCUUGAGAUGAGAUCAUUCUGGAUUACCCAGAUGGGCCCUAAAUCCAAGGACAAAUGUCCUCAUAAAACACAGAAGACACAGAGAAGACACAGACACAGAGGAGACAGCCAUGUGAGGACAGAGGCAGAGAGUGGAGAGAGGCUGCCACAAACCAAGGAAUGUCUAGAGCCCCCAGAAUCGGGAAGAAGCAAGCGAGGAUCCUCCUGCUUUGAGCCUUGGGCAGGAGCGUGGCCCUGCCAACACCUUGAUUUCAGACUUCCGGCUUCCAGAGCCUUGAGACAAUGAAUUUUUGUUGUUUUAAAUCACCCGGUUGGUGGUAAUUUGUUACGGCAGCCAGAGGACACUCCCCCAGUCUACCUUCUUUUGAACUCGUCUGGCUCACGGUACUGUGUGUUCCCUCCGACGUUAAAUUAACCGUGUAAACCAGGAAGUGAUCAUCUUCCGUUGUGCUCGUCCUAUUUCCAUCACCUGAUAGUUAAAGGAAGGGUGUGACUGUUUGACUUCUUGGUGUUGUCCACAGCAGGUCAGACACGGGUUACGAAGCAAUGACUCUGCUUCCAUGAUGGAUCUGGGGAUUUUGCUGAUCUGCAGUCCCUCAAGUCUGGCCUUUACCUUCUGUAACCUCAGUCUCCCCUGAACUUAACUACCGUGGAAAGGGUUUUUAAGCCUUGUUCUCUGACUGGGACUUCUAGGAUUGCCAACACGACUGAGUGCUGCGAAGGGGACCGCCAAGGGGAGGUUCACGGGCUUUGCUCUCAGUUCCUCAUUUGCUCCAUCUGUUGGCACACACCCAAGUCUGGUGGCAUUCACUGGGGCCUUCCCAGGCAAAGGAGGCAAGGACAGUGGAAGAGAGAAUCAAAAGGAAAAAAAUACCCACCAGAAAGCAGGAGAAAUAGAAGGCCCAAGGAAAAAGUAAGGAGCUCAGAGUUGGUUAGUCAGUAAAAACCAGUUCUGAACAGAAAAAACUGUGAUCUGGCCUUCUGGGCACCAAAUAAAAAGCAAAUCCCUAAGUGCGUAGGUAGGAGCUGGCAGCCAUGUUAGGGAAUAGUGGACACUUGUGUUUUCCUGAGGCUAUACUUCUGUUUUUCUUUUCUUUUUGACUGUGGGUUUUUCCACUUUCUCUUUCCUGCCCAGGCUUCUUUGGGGAUUCUCGUGUUCCUUUGCAACAAGGUGCUUCUCAUCUUGUUGGAGAGAAGAGACUCUGUAAAUGCUUCACGAAGGACACUGGAAACCUCUGCUCCCAUCUGUGCCUGUUUGAAUUAUGAGGCAUGGAUCAUGGACUUUCCUGCACUGGGUCAGUGGAGGGCACGUGUGGCCAGGUGGACAGCAUCCAGGAUAGAGCCGAGUGGGCAGUCUUUCUACUUUCCAUUUCCCUCCACUUCUUUUUUAUGGAUUUCUUCCCCUAUUUUCUUCCCAAAUACAGAAAGGAGCAAAAAUUAGUGUGAAGCAAGAAGUGAAGAUUAAGAGAGAAAAAGAACAGAGGAAAAUAGGAAGGAAGGUGGCGCUCCCCUGGUAAAAACAUGGGGCUUACCUGAUGACCACAUAGCAAAGGUGAUACGAACAAUUUAGAGAAAAGUUCUCUCCAACUCAUGUAAGGAAGUCCUGCUCAGUAAGCAAAUUAGGGGUGCUAAGAACCUUCUAGAGAGUUAAGACUCAGGUUGGAUUCCUCCUUCAGGGAUAGAUUUUCUCAAGCUCAGGCUGUGAAGAUUGAAAGUGGCCACUGAAGAAAAUGGACUUGAAGGGAAAGAAGUUUCAAUCUGCCCCAGAAGGUAUAAUCUGAGAAGAAAGGAGAGUCACACAGACACACGUGCUUUUGCAUGUACCCACACACACAUACACACACGCACACUUUGGCCUAGCCUAAGCGUGUCUGGGCCUUAACUUAUCUUAAGAAGGUUCUGAGAGGAUCAAGAUCGUGGCGAAGGCAGGAUGGGAAAGUGGACACUGGAAGGGGUGGUCUUUGUGUGGUAUCCCUGGGACCAGCCCUGGGGUAAAUAUUUAAAAAUAAUUUUAUUGUCAAAUAAAACGCAAAUACACACACAACAGUAACAUAAAUCUUAAAACAAAAUCAACCACAGGUACACAAAACAAAUGUAGGGCUUUGAUAAAUUAUUAUAAGGUGAACAGCUUUGUAACCACUACCCAGGUCUAAAAGCAGAACUUGCCCAGCCUAUUCCCAAAGUCCCUUCUGAGCGCCCCCUCCCAGCUCAAACCCCUCACUCCCCCAGCUGCAGCUCCCUCCUCACUUUUGAGGAAUCACAGACUUGAGUUUUCAUAGUCUUGUCACCCAGGUGUGAAUCACCAGACACUACGGUUUAUUUAGUCUCACCCAUUUUUUAACUGGAUGUGUCUUUUUGGUCUCUUUAAUUUCUUGAUUCCCCUUGGAUCCUUCUCUUCCCUACGGUUUCCCUGUGGCAGAUCUGAAGAGUUUCCUACAGUCUGGAUUUUUGCUGGUUACAUCCUCACGGUGCUGGGAAAGCCCUUGGCUACCAUUUGAGAGGACAGUGGAUGUAGUGGAAAGACCCGUGGGCAGAGAUCUGAGUGUCCUCCUGCUCCGAUACUAACUAGGAAACAAUCUGGCACAGCCAGGAGAUGUAUGGUGGGGCAGUGACAGGGAUAAGGGCCAUGGAGUCCAGUGGAGCAGCAAUCCAUUCCUGGUUCCAGGACUUAGGACUCUGUGGUUCUGUAUCCUCAUCUAUAUAAAGGACAUGCUACUCAUAUCACGGGUCAUUGUAAGGAUUCAGUGAGAAAAGCUCUUUGUGCUGUGCCUGAUAUAUAAUAAGUAUUUUAUACUGCUACUAUUAUUAUUUACUGUUACUAUUAUUGUAAAAAUCACUUUGGGCAGACCAGCUCACCUCCGCGAACUACAGGUUAGCCAUCCAAAGAAUGAGUCUUUUUAUGUUGCACAGUUAAAAACACAUGCCUUUAAAAAUACAUCUUAAUAAGUUGAAAUAUGUGUCCACUUUCCUUCUUCCUACAAGGCUUCUCCUCUUCUCUAUUAUAGCUUUGGCAUUUGAACACGUUUUAAACAAAUGAGUCAGUUGGGGUGAGGUGAUUAAUUUGCUUGAGCCAGACGUGUGUCAGCCUUCCUCUGGGGAGGCAGUGGUGGGGAAGGUGCUCAUUUCAUGCCUCGUCAAGAACACACUGAGUGAUAUAACCUUCAACCAUCAAGCCCUGCCUUCCCCAUGAGUCUGUUUUAAGGUUCAAACAAGAUGAUAACAUUCUUCAAAUCCUUUGAGAGUGAGAGCACUGGUCAAGGGCAGGUGGUGCUUUUUGUGCAUUUCAAUCUUACAGACCUGAAGCCCGGGACAUGGUUCUCCCCCACACCUGGCUGGUGGUGGUGCUGGGACUAGAACCCAGGCCCUGACCCUCAGUCCGAGGUAAAGCAUGUCUGGCAGAGUGCUUAACUGCAUCUCGUGUCUCACAACUCCUUCAAUUAAAAGCAGUUUAUAUGAUGCCACUAUUCCACUUCUGGGUAUUUAUCCAAAGAACAUGAAAACAUUAAUUCAAAAAGAUAUGUACAGCCCUCUGUUCAUCACAGCAUUAUUCACAAUAGCCAAGACGUGGAAGCAACCCAAGUGCCCGUGAAUGGAUGAAUAGAUACAGAAGAUAUGGUAUAUAUG
This is a long non-coding RNA of Equus caballus (horse), 4664 nucleotides long. The record is from Ensembl. NCBI's taxonomy places the organism in Eukaryota, Metazoa, Chordata, Mammalia, Perissodactyla, Equidae.